GGGGGGCAACUCCCUGAGUCGAGCGGCGGACGGGUGAGUAACACGUGGGUAACCUACCCGGAAGUGGGGAAUACCUCGGGGAAACUCGAGCUAAUACCGCAUAACAUCUUUGGAACGAAAGUUCUGACGAUCAAAGCGGGGUCGUAAGAUCUCGCGCUACCGGAUGGGCCCGCGCCCGAUUAGCUAGUUGGUGAGGUAACGGCUCACCAAGGCGACGAUCGGUAACCGGCCUGAGAGGGCGAUCGGUCACACCGGAACUGAGACACGGUCCGGACUCCUACGGGAGGCAGCAGUGGGGAAUCUUGCGCAAUGGGCGAAAGCCUGACGCAGCAACGCCGCGUGGAGGAUGAAGGCCCUUGGGUUGUAAACUCCUGUCGGCUGGGAAGAAGUUGUUCGCGACUAAUACUCGCGGACAUUGACUGUACCAGCAAAGGAAGCCCCGGCUAACUCUGUGCCAGCAGCCGCGGUAAUACAGAGGGGGCCAGCGUUAUUCGGAAUUAUUGGGCGUAAAGGGCGCGUAGGCGGCCAUGCGUGUCUUCCGUGAAAUCCCUCGGCUCAACCGAGGACGUGCGGAAGAAACUGCAAGGCUCGAGUCCGGAAGAGGGGGGCGGAAUUCCCAGUGUAGCGGUGAAAUGCGUAGAUAUUGGGAGGAACACCAGUGGCGAAGGCGGUCCCCUGGGCCGGAACUGA
This 690-nucleotide ribosomal RNA is filed under the name uncultured Acidobacteriota bacterium. Its description in RNAcentral is "bacterial SSU rRNA". It matches the Rfam family "Bacterial small subunit ribosomal RNA", at positions 74 to 743 of the family's 1533-position model. The record is from RNAcentral. Lineage: Bacteria; Pseudomonadati; Acidobacteriota.